Molecule: small RNA, 30 nt
Filed under: Bombyx mori (domestic silkworm)
Lineage: Eukaryota; Metazoa; Arthropoda; Insecta; Lepidoptera; Bombycidae
Description: ovarian small RNA-36946
Source: RNAcentral
UUCAACAAUAUUUUCAAUAAAAACAUACGC